This 479-nucleotide ribosomal RNA is filed under the name uncultured anaerobic ammonium-oxidizing bacterium. RNAcentral's name for it is "bacterial SSU rRNA". It matches the Rfam family "Bacterial small subunit ribosomal RNA", at positions 364 to 833 of the family's 1533-position model. The record is from RNAcentral.
UUUCGCAAUGCCCGAAAGGGUGACGAAGCGACGCCGCGUGCGGGAAGAAGGCCUUCGGGUUGUAAACCGCUGUCGGGAGUUAAGAAAUGCAAGGGUGUUAACAGCAUCCUUGCUUGACUAAGGCUCCGGAGGAAGCCACGGCUAACUCUGUGCCAGCAGCCGCGGUAAUACAGAGGCGGCAAGCGUUGUUCGGAAUUAUUGGGCGUAAAGAGCACGUAGGCGGCUGUGUAAGUCGGUUGUGAAAGCCUUCCGCUCAACGGGAGAACGGCAUCCGAUACUGCAUAGCUUGAGUGCGGGAGGGGAGAGUGGAACUUCUGGUGGAGCGGUGAAAUGCGUAGAUAUCAGAAGGAACACCGGCGGCGAAGGCGACUCUCUGGCCCGUAACUGACGCUGAGUGUGCGAAAGCUAGGGGAGCAAACGGGAUUAGAUACCCCGGUAGUCCUAGCCGUAAACGAUGGGCACUAAGUAGAGGGGUUUUA